AUGAAGAAUUUGAGACUCAGAAGGGUUCAAUGAUUUGUCCAAGACCACGUAAUAAGUGAUGAUGAAUCCUAGAUUAGGAUCUAGGUUCCAAACUCAAAAUGAGCAUAUUUUAUACUCUACCGGCAUUGCUUCCUAUAAUAAUGGAGAUGUUCAUUUCUGAAACAAAAACCCCUGAUUAAAUAAGCAAUUAAUUUAAUAAAGAGAUAGAUGAGAAAGGAACCAACAACGCUUAUUUGCCAGGAUACUACGCCUUCAUCUUGAAUGCUGAAUCUCAGAAGGUAACACCUCAAAAUCCUUUUCAUUGAUUUUGGUUUGUUUUCACUUGGCUUCCUGGGUAAAGAGCUUCUCAAUCUCUUCGGUGCAGGGUAAUUGGAGGCAAAUGGCCCCUGUAAAACAGGAUGGAGACAGCAUUCAAGCAAAGUGCCUAUAAUCUUUGACUCUACAAAGCAUCUCAAAGAUCCUCCACCAGUCUUCUCUUCUCCUCAGGGUUGGGAUGGAACACGUCUAUGGGACCAGGUCUAAUUGCUUGCUGUUCAGAGAGGCAUUCUGCAACCCUUCUGGCCUUGCUGUUGCAAAGUGAAGUUGAUGCCUAGGACUCGAGACUUUAUUACUCUCGGUCGCUUACCUGCUUUCUCCUUUGGACUAAGUCUGAUUUUGGGCCAUAAUGACAGGAAAGAUUUGUGGCUAUACCCAGGACCCAGACAGAGGCGUCUUUAUUGCUCCCAGUUGUUAGUUACAUUUAUGUAUAUUUUGUGACUGACCUUAUUAACACACAUUUCUGCAUUUUUAAUAGAGAACACUAUAGUAGAACUCUUCAUUUGUCAUUGAACAUGUACUUCGUUGGGAUAAUUCUUGAUUUAUUAAAAGAACUUUUCAUUUGUCAUUUCCUUGAUUAGGUUGUGGAUGUGUUUUGUUUGUAUUCUCCAUCACACUUACACUAAAAUCUUGCUAUAUCAGACGUUUGAUACAUUGAUUGUUUCAUUCAUUCACAAAUAUUCCUUGGGAAUCCUUUGAGACAGGCCUUUUGGCAGAUGAUUGAAGACUAAGAGCUCCUUUCUCCAAGGAGUUACAAGGAAGGGGAGCGAUCACGGGAGUCAGUGUUUCUCAAAGAAUGAAAGCAUAAUGGAGGGGGAUGCAGUUUUAAUACUUUCCAUAAUGUGAAAGGUACGAUUGACAUUUGAAUGUUCUUAACAUUCUCUUCAUUUAAUAAACAUGAAUUAUUAUUUCCCCUAAUCCCA
RNAcentral lists this long non-coding RNA (1238 nucleotides) under Monodelphis domestica (gray short-tailed opossum). Its description in RNAcentral is "lncRNA (ENSMODG00000047516.1)". The record is from RNAcentral. Lineage: Eukaryota; Metazoa; Chordata; Mammalia; Didelphimorphia; Didelphidae.